CCUACAUUCACUUCACCUGGAGCCAUGCCGCCACGGCAGCUUCCCAUCAACAAACAGAAAUGCAGUCACCUGUCACUGAGCUUUAUGGUGUGAAGAGAAGAAGAGAAUGGGAGCAGGGCCGCAGAGGUUAGAGAGCUGUGAGGAGAGGCUCUCGAUCCUCAUGCGGCUCUCCAUCAGCUCCUCCCUGGCACUGUUGACCGUGGAAGUGUUCAUCUCUGAGGACAGCCUGGCGUUCUCCAGCUGUAAGAGCAGGAAGCCUUCAGUCUUAAUCAACAAAUGAGGAAGCAGGACUCACCAAGGCACUUCCAACCUAAGCCCUGACGGUAACUGGCUGAUGAAACAGGAAAAUCGUGACUGGUCCGCUGACGCCAUCACCAGACAACUGUCUUUUCUCACUGGCUUCUAAAGCUAUGGAUUUAAACAACUUCAAUGAAUCUAGUUCAGUAUUCCACUGAACACUUACUGUCUAGGGUAGCACUAACAAACGACAAUAAA
Molecule: long non-coding RNA, 495 nt
Organism: Microtus oregoni (creeping vole)
Lineage: Eukaryota; Metazoa; Chordata; Mammalia; Rodentia; Cricetidae
Exons: 3
Source: RefSeq, a predicted model, not a curated record